Molecule: long non-coding RNA, 232 nt
Filed under: Trifolium pratense (red clover)
Lineage: Eukaryota; Viridiplantae; Streptophyta; Magnoliopsida; Fabales; Fabaceae
Description: long non-coding RNA (TPRA_LNC006219)
Source: RNAcentral
GUUGUUCUGCUAUUUUUCAGUUUUGGUCUUCUGUGAUAUUGUGUUUUAGGCACUAAGGAAUGAACCUUGUUUUUUUCCCCUUGUACCUCAGGUCAUUUGGCAAGAAGCAGUCUGUAAUGUUUCCAUUGAACUUGUAUGCCUUAAUUAAUAAUUCUUUAGUACUAUAUUAGAGAAAUGCAUUGCAAUAGCAUUAUUCUUGGUAAAUACUGUAAAUACUUGAUAUGAAACCAUU